Molecule: ribosomal RNA, 506 nt
Filed under: uncultured bacterium
Lineage: Bacteria
Description: partial 16S ribosomal RNA
Rfam family: Bacterial small subunit ribosomal RNA
Source: RNAcentral
AGUGAACGCUGGCGGUAGGCCUAACACAUGCAAGUCGAACGGCAGCACAGGAGAGCUUGCUCUCUGGGUGGCGGGUGGCGGACGGGUGAGGAAUACAUCGGAAUCUACUUUUUCGUGGGGGAUAACGUAGGGAAACUUACGCUAAUACCGCAUACGACCUACGGGUGAAAGCAGGGGAUCUUCGGACCUUGCGCGAUUGAAUGAGCCGAUGUCGGAUUAGCUAGUUGGCGGGGUAAAGGCCCACCAAGGCGACGAUCCGUAGCUGGUCUGAGAGGAUGAUCAGCCACACUGGAACUGAGAAACGGUCCAGACUCCUACGGGAGGCAGCAGUGGGGAGUAUUGGACAAUGGGCGCAAGCCUGAUCCAGCCAUACCGCGUGGGUGAAGAAGGCCUUCGGGUUGUAAAGCCCUUUUGUUGGGAAAGAAAUCCAGCUGGCUAAUACCCGGUUGGGAUGACGGUACCCAAAGAAUAAGCACCGGCUAACUUCGUGCCAGCCGCCGCCGUAA